This 467-nucleotide ribosomal RNA is filed under the name uncultured bacterium. Its description in RNAcentral is "partial 16S ribosomal RNA". It matches the Rfam family "Bacterial small subunit ribosomal RNA", at positions 28 to 507 of the family's 1533-position model. The record is from RNAcentral.
GACGAACGCUGGCGGCGUGCUUAACACAUGCAAGUCGAACGGAAAGGCCUCUUUCGGGGGGUACUCGAGUGGCGAACGGGUGAGUAACAGGUGAGUAACCUGCCCUUGACUUUGGGAUAACUUCAGGAAACUGGGGCUAAUACCGGAUAGGAGCUCCUGCUGCAUGGUGGGGGUUGGAAAGUUUCGGCGGUUGGGGAUGGACUCGCGGCUUAUCAGCUUGUUGGUGGGGUAGUGGCUUACCAAGGCUUUGACGGGUAGCCGGCCUGAGAGGGUGACCGGCCACAUUGGGACUGAGAUACGGCCCAGACUCCUACGGGAGGCAGCAGUGGGGAAUAUUGCACAAUGGGUGGAAGCCUGAUGCAGCAACGCCGUGUGCGGGAUGACGGCCUUCGGGUUGUAAACCGCUUUCGCUCAUGACGAAGCUUUGUGUGACGGUAGUGGGUAAAGAAGCACCGGCUAACUACGUG